Molecule: ribosomal RNA, 434 nt
Filed under: uncultured bacterium
Lineage: Bacteria
Description: partial 16S ribosomal RNA
Rfam family: Bacterial small subunit ribosomal RNA
Source: RNAcentral
AGCGAACGCUGGCGGCAGGCCUAACACAUGCAAGUCGAACGAACCUUUCGGGGUUAGUGGCGGACGGGUGAGUAACACGUGGGAACGUGCCUUUAGGUUCGGAAUAACUCAGGGAAACUUGUGCUAAUACCGAAUGUGCCCUUCGGGGGAAAGAUUAAUCGCCUUUAGAGCGGCCCGCGUCUGAUUAGCUAGUUGGUUGAGGUAAUGGCUCACCAAGGCGACGAUCAGUAGCUGGUCUGAGAGGAUGAUCAGCCACAUUGGGACUGAGACACGGCCCAAACUCCUACGGGAGGCAGCAGUGGGGAAUCUUGCGCAAUGGGCGAAAGCCUGACGCAGCCAGGCCGCGUGAAUGAUGAAGGUCUUAGGAUUGUAAAAUUCUUUAACCGGGGACGAUAAUGACGGUACCCGGAGAAGAAGCCCCGGCUAACUUCGUG